AGUGAACGCUGGCGGUAGGCCUAACACAUGCAAGUCGAACGGCAGCACAGUAAGAGCUUGCUCUUACGGGUAGCGAGUGGCGGACGGGUGAGGAAUACAUCGGAAUCUACCUUUUCGUGGGGGAUAACGUAGGGAAACUUACGCUAAUACCGCAUACGACCUACGGGUGAAAGCAGGGGAUCUUCGGACCUUACGCGAUUGAAUGAGCCGAUGUCGGAUUAGCUAGUUGGCGGGGUAAAGGCCCACCAAGGCGACGAUCCGUAGCUGGUCUGAGAGGAUGAUCAGCCACACUGGAACUGAGACACGGUCCAGACUCCUACGGGAGGCAGCAGUGGGGAAUAUUGGACAAUGGGCGCAAGCCUGAUCCAGCCAUACCGCGUGGGUGAAGAAGGCCUUCGGGUUGUAAAGCCCUUUUGUUGGGAAAGAAAAGCAGCAGGUUAAUACCCCGCUGUUCUGACGGUACCCAAAGAAUAAGCACCGGCUAACUUCGUG
Molecule: ribosomal RNA, 492 nt
Filed under: uncultured bacterium
Lineage: Bacteria
Description: partial 16S ribosomal RNA
Rfam family: Bacterial small subunit ribosomal RNA
Source: RNAcentral